AGGACGAACGCUGGCGGCGUGCUUAACACAUGCAAGUGGAGCGACGAACCAGGGCUUGCCCUGGGGCAGAGCCGCGAACGGGUGAGUAACACGUGGGUUACCUGCCUCGAUGACUGGGACAACCCGGGGAAACUCGGGCUAAUACCGGAUGUGCCCGCAAGGGGAAAGGAAGCUUCGGCCUCCGCAUCGAGAUGGGCCCGCGGCCCAUUAGCUUGUUGGUGAGGUAACGGCUCACCAAGGCUUCGAUGGGUAGCUGGUCUGAGAGGACGAUCAGCCACACUGGGACUGAGACACGGCCCAGACUCCUACGGGAGGCAGCAGUGGGGAAUCUUGCGCAAUGCGCGAAAGCGUGACGCAGCAACGCCGCGUGGGGGAAGAAGGCUUUCGGGUUGUAAACCCCUUUCAGUUGGGACGAAGCUUCGCCGGUGAAGUAGCCGGCCGGAGUGACGGUACCUUCACAAGAAGCACCGGCUAACUACGUGCCAGCAGCCGC
This 493-nucleotide ribosomal RNA is filed under the name uncultured bacterium. RNAcentral describes it as "SSU rRNA". It matches the Rfam family "Bacterial small subunit ribosomal RNA", at positions 26 to 518 of the family's 1533-position model. The record is from RNAcentral.